RNAcentral lists this ribosomal RNA (465 nucleotides) under Vreelandella stevensii. RNAcentral's name for it is "partial 16S ribosomal RNA". It matches the Rfam family "Bacterial small subunit ribosomal RNA", at positions 338 to 795 of the family's 1533-position model. The record is from RNAcentral. Lineage: Bacteria; Pseudomonadati; Pseudomonadota; Gammaproteobacteria; Oceanospirillales; Halomonadaceae.
CCUACGGGUGGCAGCAGUGGGGAAUAUUGGACAAUGGGGGCAACCCUGAUCCAGCCAUGCCGCGUGUGUGAAGAAGGCCCUCGGGUUGUAAAGCACUUUCAGUGAGGAAGAACGCCUGGUGGUUAAUACCCAUCAGGAAAGACAUCACUCACAGAAGAAGCACCGGCUAACUCCGUGCCAGCAGCCGCGGUAAUACGGAGGGUGCAAGCGUUAAUCGGAAUUACUGGGCGUAAAGCGCGCGUAGGUGGCUUGAUAAGCCGGUUGUGAAAGCCCCGGGCUCAACCUGGGAACGGCAUCCGGAACUGUCAAGCUAGAGUGCAGGAGAGGAAGGUAGAAUUCCCGGUGUAGCGGUGAAAUGCGUAGAGAUCGGGAGGAAUACCAGUGGCGAAGGCGGCCUUCUGGACUGACACUGACACUGAGGUGCGAAAGCGUGGGUAGCAAACAGGAUUAGAUACCCGGGUAGUC